AUGAAUGGGGAGCCACCCAAGGCCAGGACCCUGCCCCAGGCCAGGGGGGUCUGUGGACUUGCCUGGGCUGCAGGGGGCGUGGGGCUGGCCCCCUUCCUUCACGGGAGCUCCCUCCAGAAGGCAGGAGGCAAGGACAGGGGUGGGGUGGGAUGCAGGGGGAGAGUGGGGGGGGGGGGUCGGGGAGUGUGCUCCAGGCACCGGAGCCGAGACAGGCAUGGGUCCUGCUCCCUUCCAGAGCCCCGUGUCAGGGCACCAGCACCCGGGGCAAGGGCAGGAGGCUCUGUCCUGGGAGGGAGACUCAUGACUGAUUCCAUCCACCUCCCGGGUCCUCAGCAGGGGAGGUCAAUUUUUGCCUUCCCCAGAGGCGGUCCCGGUCUCCACCAGCCACCCCCUCCCGCCCCCAUUACGGGUCUAGAAGUAGCAAAGGGGUGUAGGGGAGGGAGUGUCCCCCUGAGCAUUUCUCGGUCGCCCCAGUUCCCCUCCCCAGCUCCCCCGGCGGCGGCGGCGGCAGUCCUGCCCAGAGCAGUGCGUGGUCUGGAAGUUUGGCUCAAGCCAUGCCCCCUCCCCUUGGUUCCCCAGCCCCAGCCCCUCGGACACCACUCAGCGGGGAAGAGCACCGCAGGGGCACGCCCUAAGGGUCCUGCCCCAAGGGUCCCACCCCGCCGCGCCGCCGGGACACUCCAGCUCUGGCCGCACCGGAUCUCCCCAGCACCCGCAGCGAGGGGAGGAGGAGGGAGGGGGGGCGUAGUCCCCCUUGGGAACUCAGCAGGGACUCGGGCCCUUGUCGCCGGUCUCCGCUCCCUGGCAGCCCCAGGACCCUCCCUCUGCGGGACCUGGGGUGCUGGUGGUACCACCAGAAGAGCUGGACCCUGGCGUGUUAAGCCUCCUUGCACCCCGGCCCCGAGGAACCCGAGAGAACGGUCGGGCGAGCAAAACCCAGGCAGGGGCAGAGAGGAGACCGGCCGCCGAGCUGGGCCUUCACACCACCUGCAAGGAGCCCCGGGGAGGGCAGUUCGGGGACGCGGCUGGGGACGCACAAGGCAGGACCGGCCAGAGUUGCUGGAGGGCAACCCGGGGCUCCUGGGCACCAGCCCUGAGCCUCCUGGCCCAAACGCGCCCCAAGGGGUGGGCUGCGUGUGGAAGCCCCGCCUGGGGGCUCCAUCCAUCAGUUCUCCAACCUGCCCUACAUAA
RNAcentral lists this long non-coding RNA (1191 nucleotides) under Felis catus (domestic cat). Its description in RNAcentral is "lncRNA (ENSFCAG00000050329.1)". Lineage: Eukaryota; Metazoa; Chordata; Mammalia; Carnivora; Felidae. The record is from RNAcentral.